This 1060-nucleotide ribosomal RNA is filed under the name Paraconiothyrium sp. CBS 194.82. RNAcentral's name for it is "eukaryotic LSU rRNA". The stretch from base 715 to 868 matches the Rfam family "5.8S ribosomal RNA". Lineage: Eukaryota; Fungi; Ascomycota; Dothideomycetes; Pleosporales; Didymosphaeriaceae. The record is from RNAcentral.
AAGGUUUCCGUAGCUCAAGUACGGGACAGCUCGACCGCCAGGUCGGGGUGAUCCUUCCGCGUAACACUUGCCGAAGCCUUAGCAGCCCGAAAGGGUGCAGCCCCAACGACUGUAAACAACGAGGGUUGCUUAAAUGCUAGUCUGCGCAUAGCAGGCGACACUAUCAAAUUGCGGGGACACCCUAAAGACCUCAACACCAAGCGAUCGCGGGAAACCGCGGCGUGGCCGAGCUAAUAGCCCUGGGUAUGGUAACAGCUUGAGGUAUGACACCCCUUCGGGGGUCGAAAUGGGCAAUCCGCAGCCAAGUCCUAAAGCGCUCUCGCGUCAUGGAUGCUGUUCACAGGCCAAAUGGUAGUGGGUGAACUCCAAUGGAGUUUGCUUAAGAUAUGGUCGGGCCCUCUCAGAAAUGUCAGGGGUAAGUUCGCGCAGCCGAUGGCCACAUCGGCUUCCAACAAGAAACAACCGUUCCGUAGGUGAACCUGCGGAAGGAUCAUUAUCCAUUACACCAGGUGUGGUUGCGGCCCCCGGGCGUGUGGGCGUCUUAUGGCGCCCGCUCUCCUGGGCGGUAGAGGUAAAACUCUCACGCGCCACAUGUCUGAAUCCUUUUUUUACGAGCACCUUUCGUUCUCCUUCGGUGGGGCAACCUGCCGUUGGAACCUAUCAAAACUCUUUCUUGCAUCUAGCAUUACCUGUUCUGAUACAAACAAUCGUUACAACUUUCAACAAUGGAUCUCUUGGCUCUGGCAUCGAUGAAGAACGCAGCGAAAUGCGAUAAGUAGUGUGAAUUGCAGAAUUCAGUGAAUCAUCGAAUCUUUGAACGCACAUUGCGCCCCUUGGUAUUCCAUGGGGCAUGCCUGUUCGAGCGUCAUCUACACCCUCAAGCUCUGCUUGGUGUUGGGCGUCUGUCCCGCCUCUGCGCGCGGACUCGCCCCAAAUUCAUUGGCAGCGGUCCUUGCCUCCUCUAGCGCAGCACAUAUUGCCUAGAGGGGUGCGGCCCGCGUCCAGAAGCAACAUUACCGUCUUUGACCUCGGAUCAGGUAGGGAUACCCGCUGAACUUAA